This 253-nucleotide ribosomal RNA is filed under the name uncultured bacterium. Its description in RNAcentral is "partial 16S ribosomal RNA". It matches the Rfam family "Bacterial small subunit ribosomal RNA", at positions 524 to 776 of the family's 1533-position model. The record is from RNAcentral.
AACGUAGGAGACAAACGUUAUCCGGAGUUACUGGGCGUAAAGGGCGUGCAGGCGGUCAUCUAAGUCUGGCGUGAAAUCUGUCGGCUUAACCGGGAGAGGUCGUCGGAAACUGGGUGACUAGAGGACGGUAGAGGCGUGUGGAAUUCCGGGUGUAGUGGUGAAAUGCGUAGAUAUCCGGAGGAACACCAGUGGCGAAGGCGACACGCUGGGCCGUACCUGACGCUGAGACGCGACAGCAUGGGGAGCGAACGGG